RNAcentral lists this ribosomal RNA (233 nucleotides) under uncultured bacterium. Its description in RNAcentral is "partial 16S ribosomal RNA". It matches the Rfam family "Bacterial small subunit ribosomal RNA", at positions 102 to 334 of the family's 1533-position model. The record is from RNAcentral.
ACGGGUGAGUAACGCGUGGUCAACCUACCGUUGAGUGGGGGAUAACUAGCCGAAAGGUUAGCUAAUACCGCAUACGUCUCCGAGGGGCAUCCCUUGGCGAUAAAAGGAGCAAUCCGCUCGAUGACGGGACCGCGUCCCAUUAGCUAGAUGGUGGGGUAAUGGCCUACCAUGGCACCGAUGGGUAGCUGGUUUGAGAGAGCGACCAGCCACACUGGGACUGAGAAACGGCCCAG